AGAGGAUUUCUCCAACAAUAAAAACCACAACAAGGUUGGUGGCACUGGCAACAAAUCUUCGCAAUCUCCACGGCAAACAACCUUGUCCGGAUCGAAAGAACGAAAAAAAAUUGUCAACAAAUAUUAUUUAUCACACAUCGAAGGGUUCAUCAGGUUUUACAGAUCAGUUCAUCACGCUGCUGCGCUUUCUAACAUCAUCAGCAGCAGCAGACAGCAGAGCAGCGUAUGUACAGCAUCAUCAUCAGUUCAUGAAUCAGAGAAGUUACAGAGAGAUUCUUCACAUUAGUAUCAUCGAGAAUCAUCAAGGAUUUCAGAUUGGUACCCAAUGGAACGGUGGGGGGGGGGGGGGGGGGGGGGGGGGGGGGGGGGGGGGGGUUGGUGGGCGUCUCAGGCGCGGCUGGCUUCCUCGGCGGCGGGGGUGCGGAGGGCGGGGACGCGCCCGCCGCAGCCCGACCGCUUCUUGCGCUUCCCGGACAGCAGCGCCCACACCGGCAGCGGGGUGAACGGCGGCGGCGCCGGCGGGGACGAGGAGGCCGCCCACCCCGGCUUCCCUGUUUCCGGCGGCAGCGGCGGGGAGGGCAGCCGCUUCUUCGGCGGGAGCAGGGGCGGCGGCGGCGGCGGCAGGUACUGCUUCUUCGGCGGAAGUAGCGGCGGCAGCGUGGGCUGCUGCUCCCGCAGAGGUAGGCGU
RNAcentral lists this long non-coding RNA (688 nucleotides) under Setaria viridis. RNAcentral's name for it is "long non-coding RNA (SVIR_LNC001411)". Lineage: Eukaryota; Viridiplantae; Streptophyta; Magnoliopsida; Poales; Poaceae. The record is from RNAcentral.